Molecule: long non-coding RNA, 516 nt
Filed under: Gallus gallus (chicken)
Lineage: Eukaryota; Metazoa; Chordata; Aves; Galliformes; Phasianidae
Description: lncRNA (ENSGALG00010002208.1)
Source: RNAcentral
CCCAUAGAGCCCAUUAUCACCCCAUAGAGCCCAUUAUCACCCCAUAGAACCUAUUAUCACCCCAUUGAACCCAUUGUCACCCCAUGGAGGCCAUUGUCGCCCCAUAGACCCCAUGGCCACCCCACAGACCCCACAGUCAUCCCCCCCCCCUGUCGUCCCCCCUUUUGUCCCCACCCCUUUGUCCCCACCCCCACCCCAUAAAGGCACCGCAGCCCGCAGUGCCACCACCGCUGCGGGACCUGCCUGGGGGGUGGGGGGGGGGCAGGUGACGGUGGUGGCGUCUGUCACCAACACCCGCGGGCUGUGGAGCGAUUGUGUCACCGACGCCAGCGGGGGUGACAUCGUGUGUCCCACUGCAGUCACUGCUCACACUGCCCGGUUACCUGCAGGGCAGCCGAGCGUUGGCUGUGGGAGCGGCAGCUGUGGGGACCCCCGGCCCACUUCUCCCCUUCUUGGGGGGUCCGGGGGGGGCGACGGAGGGGUCGGAUCCUGGGGGGGGCGCUGGCUGCUGCUGGC